GUGCUCGCUUCAGCAGCACAUGUACUAAAAUUAGAAUGACACAGAGAAGACUAGCAUGGCCCCUGCGCAAGGAUGACAUGCAAAUUUGUGAAGUACUCCAUAUUUAA
Phyllostomus hastatus (greater spear-nosed bat) is the source of this 107-nucleotide small nuclear RNA. The record is from RefSeq and is a predicted model, not a curated record. Lineage: Eukaryota; Metazoa; Chordata; Mammalia; Chiroptera; Phyllostomidae.